This 497-nucleotide ribosomal RNA is filed under the name uncultured bacterium. RNAcentral's name for it is "partial 16S ribosomal RNA". It matches the Rfam family "Bacterial small subunit ribosomal RNA", at positions 28 to 507 of the family's 1533-position model. The record is from RNAcentral.
GAUGAACGCUGGCGGCGUGCCUAAUACAUGCAAGUCGAGCGAACAGAUGAGGAGCUUGCUCCUCUGACGUUAGCGGCGGACGGGUGAGUAACACGUGGAUAACCUACCUAUAAGACUGGGAUAACUUCGGGAAACCGGAGCUAAUACCGGAUAAUAUAUUGAACCUCAUGGUUCAAUAGUGAAAGACGGUUUUGCUUUCACUUAUAGAUUGAUCCGCGCCGCAUUAGCUAGUUGGUAAGGUAACGGCUUACCAAGGCAACGAUGCGUAGCCGACCUGAGAGGGUGAUCGGCCACACUGGAACUGAGACACGGUCCAGACUCCUACGGGAGGCAGCAGUAGGGAAUCUUCCGCAAUGGGCGAAAGCCUGACGGAGCAACGCCGCGUGAGUGAUGAAGGUCUUCGGAUCGUAAAACUCUGUUAUUAGGGAAGAACAAAUGUGUAAGUAACUAUGCACGUCUUGACAGUACCUAAUCAGAAAGCCACGGCUAACUACGUG